AUUGAACGCUGGCGGAAUGCUUUACACAUGCAAGUCGAACGGCAGCACAGGAGAGCUUGCUCUCUGGGUGGCGAGUGGCGGACGGGUGAGGAAUACAUCGGAAUCUACCUUUUCGUGGGGGAUAACGUAGGGAAACUUACGCUAAUACCGCAUACGACCUACGGGUGAAAGUGGGGGACCGCAAGGCCUCACGCGAUUAG
RNAcentral lists this ribosomal RNA (200 nucleotides) under uncultured bacterium. Its description in RNAcentral is "partial 16S ribosomal RNA". It matches the Rfam family "Bacterial small subunit ribosomal RNA", at positions 30 to 224 of the family's 1533-position model. The record is from RNAcentral.